RNAcentral lists this long non-coding RNA (521 nucleotides) under Mytilus galloprovincialis (Mediterranean mussel). Lineage: Eukaryota; Metazoa; Mollusca; Bivalvia; Mytilida; Mytilidae. The record is from RNAcentral.
CCCACCGUUAACCGGAAGUUUGUCAUUACAAGUUUGUCAAUAAAUAGAGUCGAAACACUCAACUUUUUGCUCAUUUUUGUCCUGUAUUUAGAUGAACUAAGUUAUCGACUGCAUCAAUUUAUAUGCUGACAAUAAGCUAUUUCAAAAUUUCAUUGUGAAAAUAUUUGGUUGAUUUGAAAACCCCUUAUAUCACUAAAGUACGGCAAUAACAGUUAUAAAUUCCUUCACAUUUUCAAAUUGCAUAAAAAUAUAAUGUCUAACACAAUCUUGGUUUGAUUUAUUUUUGGCUGUGACCGUUUACUUAAAUUCGACAUUCAUUUGCACAUUAAAUUUUUGUAUGUUUUUAAAUGUCGUUUUUAACUAAAAUUUCAAGACAUCGGGAUUAAAUCGAUAUCAAUCCGUCUUUAUCGUAUAUCAAAAUAAACUUAUAACCCUUUAUCAAACCUAUUUCAGGUGUUAUUUCAACUUUUUAAGAAGAUUAUUUUCUCGUCCAAUUUUCGUCUGCUGCAAUCUUGCCGACG